UUGCCAACCGUCCCUUGAAAAACGGAAUCGUCCCGUAUUUAGAAACACAAGUGCACGUCCCGUAUUGAACUCAAAAGGGACGCACUUUGUCCCGUAAUAUAGUAUGGAUCAAAAUUAGUCUGUAGUCUAUUACCGGAAUUAACGCUUUGUUUGAAAGCCAGCCCUUCGCCUGCUCUGUGACCAAUGAACUGGCCGCAUGCUUACACACGAAUAUGAUGAUACAGAUUACCGCUUAUUUCAUUGGUCGAGGAACGGUCGCUUGGGGAGAAGAUACCGGAAGAAAACAGACGACAGCAAACAGCACGGCCAACCGGGAAACUAACGCCGACACUGCUGUACAAGUCUCGGACGACAGUACCCCUCCGAGAAAGAAGAAAAAAGGCUUCAAAAAUACAGGGAGGAAUGGGAAAAGGAAAAUUCCUGGCUGGAAAAACUGCGCGAGAACACCUAUAAAGCGCACUGCACCGUGUACCGGCGCAGUUUUUCCAAAGGGCAUGGUGGACUCACUGACCUCAAGCAACAUGCUUCUAGUAGUAGCCACAUGAAAAACAUAAAGGACGUGAAAUUACGGGGAACCCUCGAUCAGUUUGUCGUCCACAAGGCCACGGCAGAAGCAGAUAUGGUUAAACAUCUCUAUGGAUGAGCUUUAUGACGAGUGUGUCACUGCAACCAGCCUUCUGGAGCCCCUCACCAAAGGACCUCAGGAGAAGGAAAAGUGGCAGUCCAAGGGAACAGCAGAGAAGUGUAUAGAAAUUCUUCAGGCAGCUGACCUCUCCAACAUCCAGCCUGUUGUAUCGUUUGUACUCAGCAUCCCAUCUUCCACUGGAUUGGCAGAGAGGAUUUUCUCUCUCAUGAAGAAUAAGUGGACUGAUGUGCGGAACAAAUGUUCUACUGAAAUAAUUAGAUGUGAGCUCAUUGUCACUCUAAAUUGUGACAUGUUUUGCUCAGAGUUUUACUCUGCAGUACUGAAAGACAACUCCUAAAUGCAGCAAGAUCUCAAAAGAAAUACAAAUGGAGAAAAUAGUCUGUUUUCACAUAAUGUAGCAUUGAGCUUUUGAGUUCAUGAGUUUGGACUUUUUUUU
Nothobranchius furzeri (turquoise killifish) is the source of this 1082-nucleotide non-coding RNA. The record is from RefSeq and is a predicted model, not a curated record. NCBI's taxonomy places the organism in Eukaryota, Metazoa, Chordata, Actinopteri, Cyprinodontiformes, Nothobranchiidae.